Long non-coding RNA from Lagopus muta (rock ptarmigan), 15867 nucleotides. RefSeq lists it as uncharacterized. NCBI's taxonomy places the organism in Eukaryota, Metazoa, Chordata, Aves, Galliformes, Phasianidae. The transcript has 2 exons. The record is from RefSeq and is a predicted model, not a curated record.
UGGACUCUUCUGGGACAAGAAGCAAAGCACAGCAGGUAAAGGAGCAGAAGCAGACAGAAGGCCAUCUCUGGAUACAGACUGUCCUGUGCAGCAGCGCUGCGAGGCAACGCUCAUAUUCUCCAUGGUGGAGAGGGGUUCAGGCAUGCUGAAAAUAGAUCCCUCUUGAGGUGGAGAUCAGGCAGCUGCUUCCCUGUCUACUACCUUUUCAGAUGUGGGUUUUCUUCUCCUGAGUGGUGAGAGACAAAGAAUGAGAGGAUGAUUUUUAGCAGGGUGUCAGAAUGAGAACAAAGUGAGAAAGUGGAAGAACCUGUAUGUUGGUUAGUGGGAAACUCCCUCACAUGUGCGUUCAGUGUGGUAGAGGUCAUGAGCUGGAAACACACCAGUGUACUUGUAUGACAGGAGGUUUCGCAGCGUGGAAAGGAAUCUCUUACUGGUGAUCCUCAGCCUUUUCCCCUGAGAACUACUCUCCAGCCCUCUGCUCCUCUGACUAGAACAGAGCGCUGUGCCAGAGGAAGGGAGGGAAAACAUGGUUACAAAUCUCUGACAUCUUAGGGGCUGUAGACAGCCAUCACUGUCCUGUGCUCAUCUGGACAAAGAAAUUCUCCAUAUUUUUCUAAAUCAAAAUGCAUAUUAAAUACUUGUCCAAACAAAUUCCACUAUGGCAAAUGUACUGCUGGAAACUGCAUGUUUCCACUUAGAAGCAGUGCGCUGGUACAAGCUUCAACUAUUUCAAACCUGUAAAAAGGUUUUAUUAGCCUUACUAACUUUAACCUUAUUGAGUCAGUCUCGCUUGUUUCUUCUUUCCCAUCAACUUUUCAAAAACAAAGGCUUCCUGGGGAUUUUCUUUUUCCUUGUAGAAUGGAAUUUGGUUGAAAGGAAUUCAAGGAGCCAACUCAAACAAUGACACAAAAUUCAACUUUGUCCAAUUUGUGAAUGACACUAAAUUAGGCAGAUGACAAAUGACAGAGCUUAAUUCCAGAUACAUUAAGAGACAUGAAGACUGGAUGAACACAAAUGUUAUGAAGAUCAGUGUGGACAAGUGGAAAGCUCACAGCUGGGAGAAAAAUAGCCUGAGGUGUCAGUAUGAGCUGGGAACUGACCAGUUCAGCAGGAGCCCUGCUAGAAAGGACUUGGGAGUUAAGAUGGGUGCCCAGAAGGAUAAUGAGUGCUCUCACUGGAAACAAGGCAAAGAUACUGGAUGAUGCUCUGAGCAUGUUCAGUUGACUAUCAGAAGCUAAAAUCCCUUUUGUUUGGUAUGACUGAGUUGUCAUCUGAAAUGGUUUGUCCACUGUGGGGCUCUCCUGUUCAAAAAGGAUAUGAACUAAAAUGAUGAAGAUGGUCUAGGGUCUCAAAAAGUAGUCCUACAAAGAGACUUCCAGGGUUUUUAAUGUUAGGAGCAAAGGACUAAGUUCCAUGUAGGGCAGUUAAAAAUACAAUGUUCUAAACUUUUCCAAUUAGUAGUAGGCAAUGUAACAAGGGACACUGAUCAAAAAUCACAACUUGAGAGGCACUAGUUAGUCAUUAGGAAAACUCUUCACAAAUGUCUGUACGGAGUGAGAUCAAAGGAUUGCAUAAUCUGUCACUCCUGAGAUAUUUCUCACCAUCCCAGUGGUGAAGACUUCUGAACUACAAACCCCCUCAAGCUGGUGAAAGACAUGUGACUAAAGCAAAAACAAGCCACAGAUGGGAAAUUGUACUGAAAACAGUACAAUCUGUGUCACUGCCAGUAAUGGGAGACAGAAGCAUAAGCACUUUCCUGCUAUCUCUGUGUGAAGCCUAAGAAACCUUUAACCUUCUCAGCUUUCAGUAACUUGUCCAUGUGUCUACGCCACACAGAGUCUGUAAUGCUCGCAGGAUAGAUAGGGCAGACAUCUCCUUUAACAGGGAUCCCCUUAAACCCCUUGCUAUUGAGCCCUGGAAGGCUGGAGAGAGCUCAGAGCUGCUCGACUUCUGCUCAGAUACCCAUGACUCCAGCAUGGUUCUGUACAAGGCAGCAGAUCCAUAUUCUCACUGAAUUUCAGACAACGUGGGAGUAUAAAACAAGGUAUCUUUCCAAGACAACUUCUCUUAAAAACCCCAUCUUAUAUUUGAACAAAAAUUGCAAAUUGGGAUUAAACAAUACUAGGAAACUGUCACAACAGCAAGGUCCCCCUGCCCAGUCCCCCUCUAGGGAAAGCAGACACAAAAGAAGCAAAAUUUUGUUAUAUAUAUUAGCGUAUUUCUGCAACUAUCAUCCUCUCCAAAAGCAAGAGUGGUUUGAGGUUCUGGAGUUCCUUCCUGUGUUCUUAUUCACCACUGGACUGCUUCAGAGCGAAAUACAGAAACUCACCAAGUUCCCUGCUGCCCUACAUGCCCAGCUGUAAUGUGAGCUGUGCAGUUAAAUGAGAUAAUCUGAUAUUAAGGCAGACGAACUAAGAGGCAAGGGGAUCAAAGAAGAUUGCUUUAUCAGCCUCUUAGGGGCUUGCAAUGGAUUUUACAGAAACACAGUCUCAUACCUUCUUUUAGUUCAUGGCAAUAAAAGAAAGAACAAAUUAGAGGGAUUUCUCAAUCACUGAUGUUUGACCGAGAGAAGGAUUCUAUUCCCCCUUUGGCUUUGGAGCAAAGCAGUAGAACUACAGCCCCCCUCCUCUCCCCUUCCCUCCUCUGCCUCCCCAUCUCCUGUCUGCUCUUCUUGGAAGAAACUGGAGAGAGGUUUUGUAUGUGACAUCAGUGAUAUUUUUACUUUGGGAAAGGCAGCAAUAUCACCAAGACACAGCUGCAACCGUUUCUUUGCCCCCCCUCCCUUCCUCCCCCACUGAGUUCAUUAGCAAAUCUCUUAAGAGGCACAAAGGGCACAAAUGCCAAGAAAUGUGUCCUCCAUUAUGCCACGUGCAUCUGCUGAAUCUGAGACUUAUUUUAGGAGGAAUUAACAUGUAUUCCUUCAGAAUUUCAAGAGGAAGAACACCCUGCUUAGUCACCAACAUGAAAGAAACUGCACAGCAAGCUGAUUCAGAACACCAGCUUCACUUAACAUUUAGCGAACAUUUAGUUAACACUUUAACAUUUAGGUUGUUUGACAAGACUUCCUUAGGUUCUACAGCACUGUGAUGCUUCCUAAUCAAAGGCAAUCCGAUGCUGUCUCAAGCUAUCUUCUCCCUGGCAUUGCUACCUGUUACUUGAUUGACAGUACCUGAGUAAGUAUUUUUUACCAGUUUAGAUGCCAGGUGUUAAUCAGCCUGCCCCUGCAGAGGAGGUCAAAGUUACUGAGCUGAAGAAGAGGAAUAUGGACAGACUAUUGGCUUUCCAGGCUUGCAGCUGGUAGGAUAGAUGUGGAAAAGCUGUAACUGGUUUCAGGGAGCAGCUAUUUAGCAGUGCCCACUGCUCCAGUGUGCUUUCCCAUAGUAGAUCACCGUAGAUCACUUUGCUGUGAUAAUUAUUUGAUUAUUAUCCUCUGAUUCAGAAAAGAGCUGAGUGUAGCAAUCUUUUUCUUAAAUAGUACACUUUCCUUCCUCCCUUCUCUUAGAUAGUAUCCCUCCUUCCUUCCUGCCUGCCUGCCUGCCUCCCUCCCUCCCUCUCUUUGUUUUCCGCAAGACUUCUGAGAAUUUUAUUCCCAAAUAACUUGCUUUGCUGGCUGCUGUACAGAACUUACCCUCAGCCCACUUGAGAGGAUGGGGAAAGCAGCUGUUUGCCCCUUUCCCACAGUGAGUACUACUGUAAGGGUUACUCAACUGUGGGAAAACUGGAGCAGAAAGACAGCACCUGCAGAGAGAGCCUCAUAAAUUUGAGAACAUACAGCCAUCCACAUCACCUUAGAACAAAGGACUGGCAGGUACUCUGUAAGGAGAGUAUAUAAGAUGACUGGUGAAAAUGCAUUUUCACAUUUUCCAAAGUAUUUACAAUUUUAUGAAAGCAUAUAAUCUUCCCACCUGAUCAUUCCUUUUCCAAAGUGAAGAAUCAUAGUCACUGUCUCUCCAAUGUUCCCAUCAGCGUUGACAUCUUUCUACAUAACCUUUCUACUUGCACAGGCCAGAGCUGUGGAGAGCACAUGGUUUGUGAGCCUGGCACAAUGAUUUCUGUUUUGUUCUCAAUUGAUCCUGACCAUUCCUAAUGAUCAGGCCUUUUGUGGCCACCAUCAAGCACUGACUUGACAUUUGGAGACUAUUACUUGCUGUCUGGUAGCCUCUUAACCCCAUUUACUUGCUGUCUGGUACCUCUUAACCCCAAUUCUCCUUUCAGAGACUGGAUUUCUGUAGGGUUUGGCCUACACAGCUCAGAGGCACCGAAUAGGCAGAGGAGCUGACCUUUGGUUGCAGCCACACAAAGGGUUUUUUUGGCUGGUGUUGCAUGGCCUGCCUUACAAGGAUGAUGUGGUAUGCAGCUUUCAGCAACAUGACAGUGCGUGAGACUCAAGCAGCUCAAAGCAGCAAGCAGAGCUGCAGAGAGACAGGUAAAGAGGCCACCUGUUGUGGAGGGAUGACCAGCUGUAAGCUAUCAGAGGUGCACCAUUACUCAGGCUCUUCAUGCAAACAUCAGCGGAAGAGAUCUGGGCAGCAGCCACUGCCAAGGAGGUGACAUUCAGGAUGCCCUUUCUGUCACCCACCAAAGCAGCUGAGGGGCUCCAGUUACAGAGCAGGGGAGUGGGGUGGGCAGGCUAUGAGGCCUCCGGGAAAGACAGAGAAGAAAGAGAGCAAGUGGCAAAAGGGGGAGGGAAGGAAAAUUAGGAUUAGGUGCAUAAUAUUAGAACUAGCAACAACUGCAUCCUAAAAAAGAGAGCAAUGAAGUGAUAUCUUCCUUUGCUGACACUCAUCUUAGACAGAUGCACAAAUCCCACUUCUGGGCAGGUUUCAGUGCUGUAAGUGGAAAUAUACUGAUACUGGAAUUUGUAUAAUCCUGUUCUCCUUAAAUGUUAAGACUUUUCAAGGUUAGAACACUGUAAGAUCUUCUGAGUGCCAUGGUCACAGCAGCGCAGUUACCUAUUUAGCAGAAUAUUUUCUAAACUAACUUCCUAUGUUGCAAAAAAGUUCCUUUUGCAUCUUCAGGAAAUUUGCCAACAGACUCAUUUUAUUCAUGGUGAUCAACAUAAACAUUUCCUUAACUGCUCUCUGUAUCCACCUGACAGACACAGGGAAGCAUACACGUUUCUGCUCCCUCUGGACUGCAAAUUAGCUGCACAAAGCAGACCAGCUCCGUCAGAAGACAGUGAUGGUGAUGUGCCACCAGACAGCCAGCAGCCAGGGUGCCCCCAUGUGAGCAGCUGGUGAUGAGCAGCUGGGGGGGUCUGGCAAUUCUUACAUUCUCCGUUCUGUGGUAAUUACCUGCUCACCUCACUUUAAGUCUUCUAAGGACAGAUGUUUCUCUUUGAGUGUCUUGUCACAAAGUUCUUGAGAAGGUCUGAGUUUAUGCCAAAGGAGAAGCGAAUACUGAGCCCAAAGGAAGAGAGAAAGUUGUUUAACAUCUCAAACAGGACCAUGGCCUGCGAAAACGUAUCCCAAAUCUGCCGCAUAGAAUCAGAGAACCACAGAAUGGCCUGGGUUGACAAGGACCUCAAGGAUCAUCUAAUUUCAACCCUCUUGCCAUUGGCAGGGUCACCAACCAACAGACCAGGCUGCCCAGAGCAUCUCAAGGUGCAGUGCCAAAUUCACUCAAUUACCGCUUUGUCGAACAUUACAGGUGUAUGUUCCCUUCCUUCCAAGUUAGUCCCUCAGAUUCCUCAAAGUGCCCUGCUGCUGCAGUUGACCAAUGCCUUCCCAGUUGUAGGGUCUCAAAGCAGAGCCAUCCCCUGACCCUGCACUGCUCUCUGCCUCAUGUAUUUGCUAAGCCUGCAGCUUGCCCCUUAGUUCAGUUCCAAACCCUCCAUGUACACUGAACUGUAUUUCUCCAAGCAGCACUGUGCGGACCUCAGGGAGCUGCUGGCAUGUGGAGAUGGUGGUGCCCACUCUGCUGGAGCUGUAAGAGCAGUGCUCUGAAGCCUUUAACAGCAAAACUUGUGUCCUGUGUGAUUUCCUUCUCUACUGGGGCUCCUUACUGUGAACUACUGAACGCGGCUUUACUGAUAGAGUGUCUGAAGGGAAAUGUUUUCAACCAUUUGUUCUGCUAGAACUGAACUGCUACUGUUGUGCUCAGGAGUUCUCCUGCAGUCCACACAGUCCACACAGGACAGCAGUUCUAUAUAAGCCCAUCAGCUGCAUCUAUUUUAAACUUUCUCUCAGAGGUCCUUGUUUACGGCCACUAUGAACUGAUGUUUUUCUCAAGACCUUUGCACAAGCCCUGGUCAGAUGACAGGCAUCCUGACUCCACAAAUAGAGUGAGAAUGCAAAAUGACCCUUGUUCUCCAUAAGGCAGUGAGCAAUACAUCUUCCAUUUCCCUCACAUCAGUGUCCCACUUUGGUCCUGAUCAUACAGCAGGCUUUAUAGCAGUGUCUGUCUUUUUUUUUUCCCAGCCUCUGCUCCUCCUGCACACAUCCUCCUUGGCUCAGAUCACUGAUUUGGUCCUUUCCCCAUUACAUACCUAAACUCUCCUUCCUGGCAUCCCUCAAAGCUGCUCAGCCUCUGCUCCAUUCUCCUCCUCCGCUGUGUUUGUUGUUUUCCUUCUCAUCCUAUUCUUCAACUGCCAAAAAACCCACAUGCAAAGGAGGUAGCCACAAGCUGGGCUUCCUCUUCACUCCACAUGGCCUAGGCAAGCCAAAAGGUCAGACACCCAUGGGUUAGAUGGUCAUAUGCAUAUAAUCAUUUUAGUGCUUACCAAUAAUUUAUCUUCCUGUUUCCUCUGACCAUUCUUCCCUCAACCUGAUGCUCACUUGUCAUUUCUCCCACUCCCACAUCCUCCACCAUCUUCUCGCUCUGCCCUCUUCCUCCACACACUCACGUCUUGCUCUCCCUGUCCUCGUCUCCUCCCUGCUCUCCCCAGCACAAUUUCAAACUCCCAUCAGCACUUCAGCACUGUGGUUACUCAUACUUUGUCUCUCUUGUUUUCCAGUUUAUUAAUUUUUUCAACAAGAGCCACAUUACGGUGCAUUUCGUGGCUCAUCUCACAUGUCAAGCGCUGGGGCCCCAAUUCAGUGUUGGAUGUCAGCAUGGCCUGCUCUUGCUCCACCCGGCUGAGAGAGGCAUGGUUCUCAGCAGUGCUGCCAGCCCUGAAGAAAGCUUGGAGCAAGUGCUGCUGCCUUCCUCAUGAUGGGAGGGGAUUCAUGGAUUUGGGUUCUCAUUCUGAGCAGCAAGAACUGAGCUUUCACAUCCACAGACUUUGCUUCUCAUUGUCGAUGUCAAGAGAAGUGAUGCCCACACGCACCCCAAGCUGAACACCAACGGCAGCUGUGCAGCAGCCGUGCUCCUGGUGGCACAGCACAUCCCAGCAGAGCAGGGCAAGCACCCAGGAGCCGCGUUCACACACUGCCAUUUCCACUGGCUUCAGAGGGGCCGCUCCGGCCGGCUCCUGACUGUUCACAUUUCAGCUGAGAAAGGAGCUGUGCCGGACGGAGCAAGACUUUCUGGGACAAGAAUAGCAUCUGCCAUCUUAGGACACAGCACAGUUGUCCAGCUCCUGCAUGGCAGCACGCCGCAGUGAGAUAUAGAAGGCAAGCUACCCGCUGAGGAAUGUCUUCGAGUGCUAUUCAUGGAGGCGUAUCAUCUACAGCAGCAGGCCCGGCCCCACGCAGGAGCCUUGCGAGGGGGGUUAUUUUGAGCUUUGGGCGCUGAGGAUUGAAGGGAGACAAAUGACAGCCAUCCUCCUGGCACAGGCAACUGCAGAGCUCUGUGCACAAGCCCCGCAGCCUGUCAGCGCUUCUGGGGAUGACGCUUGUGAAGCUGCAGGGCGACGCGGUGGGACCUGAGAGCCCAGGAGAUGGGAGCCAGGAGGGAGCUGAGAAUUCGCUGGGGACACGAGGGCAGGCCUCAGGCCUGCCUGUCCCAGACUCAGGCACUGCUCUGCCUGCUUUGUUUUGACCGCAUCCCUGGGUGCGUCGGCAGGUAACUUUGUGCAGGUGCACACUGUGAUCAGAGGAGACACAGUUAGACUUACAACUUGAUAGCUGCUUCAUCUUCAGAGAGCUACCUUCCCUUUCAUUUUGUGCUUUUGGUGCUCUCUCUUUUUUAUGUUUUAAUAAAAAAUACUUUAAAAAAAAGUUUUAUUGCUUAUAUACAUUAAAUUGCGUAAAUGUUUAAAGCAAACAGAUAUCAGGCUCUUUUACCUUUGAGUUUAAAUGACAGGAAGACUUGAGGAAGAACUGGUAUGCAAAAGGAGAAGACGGCUGAGAUGAACUUGCCAGAGGGAUGAGAGUUCAGAAUCAUGUGGGAGGAGGGAAGGCAGAAUGUUCUGGUUUCAUCUGGGAUGAAGUUAAUUUUCUUCCUGGUAGCUGGUAAGGUGCUGCUUUAUGGAUUUAGGAUGAAAAUAACAUUGAUAACUGAAGUUUUAGUUAUUGAGGAACAGGAAAGAAUGGAGUAGUGUGGGACAGUGGAAGGUUUGGGACAGAUAUGCAUGAAUAUCUCCAAAGGGGAGACUCCAAAACAUCUCUGGGUAUCUGUGCCAGUGUUCAGCCUCCCGCGCAGCACAGCAGUGCUCUCUGAUGGUCAGACAGAACUGUCUGGGUUUCCAUUUAUGCCCAGUGCCUCUUGUUCAGUCACUGGCACCACCGGGCUCUGUUCUUUUGCACUCUCCCCUCAAGUAUUUAUAGACACUGAUGAAAUCUCCCCAGGAUAAAGGGAACAGUUAGUAAGGAAACAAGAGUAAUGGUGUGGUGGUGAAACUUAAACACUGGAGACAGGGAAUCUUGAGGAACAGGCAGCAAGCCAUGCAGUGUGAACAUGAAAAGCUGUAAACACAUCAGUAUCUGAAAAACAACCAUGCUUUUGUCAGUAGGAGCACUUCUCCCACCCACUGGCUCCCAGAUGCAAGCAACAAAUGGGCAAAUAGGAUGCAAAAUGCAGGAGAGCAGAGGCAAACCCUGUGGAGCACAACUACUUCUGAAGCGCGAGGAGCUGUCAUUCCUCACACCUUGGUAUCCCCAGCAGCCUCCAGCAGUGAGCUGACAGAUUAUUUGAUCCUCAGGCGCACCCUGUGAGAAUAUUUGAGUAAGAGAUUGAAACACCACAGGGUAUGUGGUGGGACUGUGACGGAGCUGCAGCUCAGCAAUCAUGUGCAACCGUACGCUGUACAGCCUGAUGCUGUGCCAGCUUCUUCAUUAUAGCACCAAGAAUUAGCACUCCGACUAAAUGGUAAAUAAUUCCUUUUAUUCCUAGUUUCACUCAUGCUCACUGCUCUCAGCUCAUGUUGAGAAAUUGGAGCGUGUGCCUCCAGCAUUGUCAGACAGCAUCCCCCAGAUCUAUCUGCAUUUGAGGAGAGGCUGCUGGGCAGUGACGCUGGCAGCCUCGGUGGUUUGUAUUUGUUGUGUCUCUCACUGCCAAUCAGUCCCUGCUCUUACUGCUUUUUGAGAGUGGCUGAAGCUAAUAGAAGACACUUCAUAUUUUGAGGCCAAUGUCUGUCACUGAUACUGACCACAGUCACAAGCUGGUAAGUGUCCCUCUGCAAUGCUUUUCAGCUUCAUACCUUCAUCCAGGAUUCCUUCUUCUUGGCCAGCUCUCCAUUGAGUGCUCAGCAUUGGAUGACACACUUUGCGUUCAGUCUUCCCUGCACCCAAUUGUCCGCUGCUGAAAGGAAGCAUGGAGCAAAGCUUUAUACACCUGCUUUGUUGGAGAUAAAGGUCAAAGGGACAGAUCUACUUAUGUGAUUAGGACUGACUGACUUUCACACCCUGCAAAGGGAAGAAGAACUGCUGCAGAGAAGUGGUAGGGAAGCAGCAACCCAGUGUCAUAGAAGGGGAGAACCAAAAAGCUUGCGAGCAAAGCCAAAGAGAUGCAUGCUCUUUCCCUCCUCCUCUCUUCCACUCCUGUGCUCCACUUUUUUGUCCAUUUUUCCACCCUCUGCUUCCCUCUUUAUCACUCUUUACCUUAUUUAUUGCUGUUUAAUACAGGACAGAACUUAAUUUUGAAACCAUGUAUUCUGGGGAAAAUGUUCCUUCCAGAUCUGUUCUGAACAGAGUUGCCUCAAGCCACAUGCUGGUCUGCAAACCAGGCAGUACGUCCUACCUAACUGCACCCACCUUUUGCUGUGGUUCUUCUUAUGAUGCUCAACUUCAUGCUUAGACCAGAAAUGCAGAUAUUGUGCCAUACCAUUAUAGCACAGCAAUUUAAAAAUAAAAGCCAAUUUCAGGAGACAGGGAAAGCAGUCAAGAGCAGAUUUUGCAUCACCUAGAAACGAGGUAGGCAUGCCUAAUUCCACAGUACAAUAACUGGGAGCCUGAGUAGAAAAUCUGCAAGAUGACACAGAACGAGGCGCUGAGGUAGUGCACUGCAGAAGGUGGCUUAAGGCAAGUGAGCCCCUAGCAGGUAAGAGCAGCAUUUGGCAGGAGUCAGCAUGAACUGAUAGGUGUUGUCAGAGAUGGAGAAGAUGUGUGGAGGGGCCUCCUGGCGCUUUUUGCCUUGGUAGGCCAACACCACCUCCGGGUUGUACAACGGCUGGAAACUGCAGCAUAGGAAGUUCCGCACAAACAUGCGCAAGAACUUCUUUACAGUGAGGUGAUGGAGCACUGGAACAGGCUGCCCAGGGAGGUGGUGGAGUCUCCUUCUCUGGAGAUGUUCAAGACCUGCCUGGAUGCCGACCUGUGCGACCUACUGUAGGGAACCUGCUUUGGCAGGGGUUUUGGACUCGAUGAUCUCUGGAGGUCCCUUCCAACCCCUACAAUUCUGUGAUUCUGUGAUUCUGUAGGGGUUGACAGUGACACAGAAGAGGCCCGAGUGGGUCUGUAAGAAAAAAACAGAAGAGAAGUCAUGGAAGCCCCUCUCCCUGGCAGCUGAUUUUUCUCCCUUGCAAUGAAGAGAAACGUACACAGAUCAUCUGAGAGCAGCAGUAGCCCUCGGGGCUGUGGAGAACAGCAGAUUCAUGCAGGUGUGUCAGUAUGGCCACAUCCUCAACUCUGUCAACCAGGUGGGUUCACUGCAAAUAAACCAUCAGAUUUGACAGCAAUCAACCACAACUCAGAAGGAAAGGGUUAACUUUGAUCCUGAAGUUCUCAGUGUCCAUUCCAUGUGCACAGAUGCUGACAGGAACAGAGAACUAAUAACACCUAUAAUGUGUUUCAGGAUUUUCUUCUUGUUUAAUAAGACACAGCCAUCACAGGGCAGACAUUGGUGCCAUCUGGUAACUCUGUAGUGCUGGCAGAUGGGAUGUAAGUCCUGGAAUCGUUGAAGCCACAUAGCCAGAAUUCACGCCGGAUCAGAGGACCAGACCUUUCUAUGUGUUACUGCUGCUGGUGGCUGCAACGCCCAUGGGCACAACUGCUGCCUGCCUGACAACACCACAGAGGCAGGAAACCGACAGCACGGUUUCAUCUGCAGUGAAUCUUUCGCUGGCACUCAUUCUGCUCCUGGUUCCUGGACACAAGACAGCUCUCUCUUGCAGCAGCUCCGUCUGCCGGGCUUGUGUCACGCUGUCCCAUCUGCAGACAUGCAUGCAGGCAGGGCAGACGUGCAGGAAAACAGAUGUGCACAGGUGGCAGCAGCCAGCUGCGCCACACGGAACCAGGGAGGAGCUUGAAAAUCCUGCUGCCAUUUUCCCAACCUGCUUCCCUCCUUGCUUCUAUCUGCAGAUGAGGUGAUUGCUGCUCCCGUGGCCUGCAAGCCAACAGUCCAACCCAGGGGGAAAAUAACACUGGUGCUAUCUGUCUGUUUCCGAAAGUUUAGUAGCUUCCAGGUUCAGUGAAGGUCCACUGAGCAAUGGACCUAUCUUGGGCUUUUUUUGAGAAGGCGAGAAUAAGGAAUGUCGGUUUUGAAAGCAACCCUGUGAUCUGCUUCCUUACAUGCUCUCCUGAAGGGUUCAAACAUGCAAGAAGUUGGGAUUCACAGAAGGUCUCCAUAUAGAACAAGAGGUUGUGCCUGAACUGCUCCUCACAGGAAGUACCUGAGAGUCAUACCGAGGGCUCCAAGGUAACGUCAGGUCAGUGCUCGGAAGAGAGCGUAACUGACUGUGAGAGAAAGGGAGAAAGGAAGGAAGCAUCAUGUAGGAUGUGUCAGUUCACUCACAUCUCCAUCACUAAUCCUGCUUCUUGGAAAGGUCGCAGUUGUAUGAGAAAUUAUGCAAAGAAAAACAAAGAUUGCAACAAGCAUGAAACUGGCAUCAAAAAUGAAUCUAUGAGAGCAAAACUUGAUGGGAUCUGGCGGUGAAAAUGAGACAUUAGAAGCCUGCAAAGUCCUGAAUGGCAGAGAGCCAUCCCUGCAGCUGUGCUGGUGAGGAAUGAUUCACUAUUUCUGUAUGAGCAAAUACAAUCUGAAAUUACCAGGCUGCAUAAAAGACAGGCUGAAGUUACCAGACCGCAUAUUGCAGUGAAUAGGAGGCACUUCACACCUAUUACAAUUACAAAUGAUUGAAAUCUGGGUUGUGUGAGAGGAAAAAGCUCAAAUGGGUACAAAAAAAGGCAAAGCCCAGGAAAGCAACACACAGGUCCUUGCACACCAUCACCUGCUGCACUCUGCUGCCACGUACCUGUGGUUGCUGCACACUGGGUAUGAAACAACAGAUCACAGCUUUAUUCUUUAUUUUCUUAAUGUCUGGUAGGGAUUACUGCCAGGACAUUGGGUGAGGGGCUGCAGCUACUUCUACAGAAUUUACCUGGACACAAGUUGUUAAUAUGUUUCAAGAUUAAGAUUAAGGCCGUUUCUUCAAGAUAAAGACAGUGGAGGCUUCUAGAGGGAACAGACACGCUGCCGAUACGAGUUUCACAUGCGAAGUAGCUGCAAGCUCUGUCACCAGUAAAGUGAGGAACUUAACAGAGGAUAUAAUAGUAUUAGAAUAAUAGAAUACAAACUGCAGCUGAGGAAUGCCAUGACCAGCAAGGCAACAGCCCAACCUGUUACAGAGCAUUUUUAUCUUAAAAUCCUGCUGGGAACAAUUAUCCCAUAGAUACCUUCAUCUCUGCAUUCGGAGUAAAGCCUUCAUCUGAAGGGCAGUCAGGCUCAGGAGGAAACCUGCCCCUGCCCAGUGUAAGUGCUUCUGUGCUCCUUGCCAUCCCUAGCAGGUGUCCUGGCCCCCAGCAGGGAAGGGAGGAGGGCCGGGAGGAACGCACACAAUCUCCCAGCAGUUUCCUUCCCAUCCUGCACAGCCAUGAUCUUUCCUAUGGUGUGCUCUGCCUGGGGUUGGCCAUGAAGCAGCAGGUCCUGGUAUCUUGGCCGGUUCUGUGCCUGUUCUCUCCAUCUCUGACUGGCACAGGCAUGGUGCGGCCCUGCUGAGAUGUGCCAUGAUGGACUGAGGGGAACAUUUCCCUUUAAAUCUGGCAGUCAGCUGUGCAUUCAUUACAGAAUUUUGCUGCACAUAUAUGAAAAGAGAGCAGUAGCCAUUUCACAGUGAUUUGCCACUGAACAGCAAUCUUUCAGGAACAGAAAUCAAUUUUUCAGUGUUUCUUUACUGGCUCUGCUAACAACUGACAAUCGCAGUGCCAAGCAAUCCACAGCCUACUCCCAUUCGUUACAUUUUUUGCACAGAGGUGUCCUUUACAUCAGCUUCCACUAUACGCAAAGCAUCACAUGCACUCCUUGUGAAAAACUGACAGUGGUAAGAGAUCCCACAAGGGAAUUUCAGUUCAGGAGGCCACUCACAGGGAUGGCAGGGACAAACCUCACCUGGGACUGUCCUCAGCUUUGGCACUUCAGUGACUGCUCCUGAUGCAGAUCCCCCACACUGCCAGAGAGAAGGUCCCCAGACCAUGAGUGUUCCUGAUGGAGGUGACUGCAUACUGCAAACAACAACCAUCCAUUCCUGAAUGAUCAGUUUAAGUAAAACUGGGUUUGAAACAAACAGAUCCUCUCUCUCUAAACUCUGCAAUCGAGCUGCUGCACUUUUAGCUUUGAUAUGUCUCUUCCAUUCCUUUCAGAAGAGUAUAUAUUACGAACCUUUUCAGUCUGUAAAGAUUCAAAUGAUAGUACCAAAAUUAAGUUUUUCUUCCAUGAGGUACCUUAGGCAACCAAGAGAAGCAUAAUCAGGCUUUAAAGAGGCAGUCUGAAGAUUCCCUCUGAUCAUCCAAGACCCAGAGGCUUAACAGCACAAGGGGGAGCACUGGAGGAGCUGAGCAUCCCCACACCUCCCAGCAGCAUCUGUACCAGCACUGCUCACUGCUGCUUGUUAGCACAUGGUGUGCAACCUUUGGGCUGGUCUGGGUUGCACUGAGAGAAGAGGAAUUGUCUUGGGCUGCACAGAAAAUAUGUAGAUCAUUAUGAAAGUAAUGCCUCCUAUUUAUUCCCAUGGAAGCUACCACAGCUACAAAGAGCACAACAACACUAAUUGAUAGAGCAAUUUUGUUUUCUCAAAAACAAAAUGUUUUGUUUUGUUUUUUUAAUAUAGUCACUAUCAUUAGCUGUGUUUUCACCAGCAAUGAGCAAGAGCCUGCAUGCUACAUUCGUAACAAUCUGCAUCAGCAGAGGUCACCCACUGUUGCUGUCCCCACUGCUGAAAUGCAGCACCCAUCACCUCACUGUGCUCACAUCCACCACUUGGUUUCCAUAAACAUUCAGCAAGCAUCAGUGCAUGUCAGUAAGUGCCAUUUGUUCUGCAUGUAGGAAUUCAAUGACACAUCUCUGCUUCAUACGCACUCCCAUGUCAGGCACCAUUGUGUCACAGUGCCCUCUGCUGCCGUCUGUCACACAGCAACGCAUAACGAGAUACUGGUGGGAAGGUUCAGCCUCUACUGCCGUCCCACCGAUGUCCACCUCUGACAACAUGGGCCAAUAUAACAGGAGGCAUUACUUUCGGAGCGACCUUCAUAUGCAACAUAGUUAAUACAUACAAGCAACAAAAUUGAGUACAGCUUUAAGGCAGAUUUCCCAGCAACACAGAAAUGCCAGCUGGAAGGGUGCCUCCCACCUAAGGCACCAGGACGAGGCACGCAGAGCUAGAAGGUGCCAAACAUCUUCAUUAUAAGGAAAGUUUUGAACUGAAUUAAUUUACUGCCUCUGGGAUUCUGGGAAAAAAUAAAAGGUGAGAUGAGACUCCUCAGAAACAAUACUGACUCUAUGAAAACAAAAUUAUUAUUGCCAUUGCCACUCAUGCUAGACAUUACUGGUAACACCUUGGAUGUGACACGGCUCCAAGUAACAUGAGACCCAGCAUGAGAAACUUCCUUUGGAAGCUGCUCAUUUGCUAACUGCACCCAAAGCAGCCAGAACAAGGCUCAACAGCUGAAAAGGAAGUUAAACUCUACUAAGACACUAAAACACCUGGUAUAAACCAGUACACAAAAAUUCCUGGUGACGGGCACAUCCAAACCAUGCAAUGGCCUGUCCUACUAUAUUGUAUGUAUCAACACUACUUUCUACACAGAUGAAAUCCGGUACGUGAGUUUUGACCAGCAUGCAAAGUUCUGAUGAUAACCCAUUAUCAGUCAAAUCAAAUUAAAGAAAAUGCAAACAGAUGCCUCACAGUCACUCUGCAAGUGAGACUUCUUCUGCAUGAACCCCUCCAGCGCUGCAAAGCUGCCAAUACGCUCCGGGCUCUGAGUAAUGCUGUCCCCACAUGCAGACAAUUCCAGACACACUGCAGCCACUCUUUACCUGGAGGCUCUUCCUGGAAACCUUGAAAGUGAUAAACAAUUACACAAAGCAAUCUUUAUUUUCAAAUGCUGCACUGCAUAAAUUUUAUCUGGUUAACAGUCCUAUGCACAGACACAGACCCCUCUUCAUCCUCCCCACUUCAUUACUCAACAAAGCACAAUCAGGCCAACUACACAAAAAAUCACAUUGAUCUGAAGAAAAACGCAUUUGCAACUCAUUACUCAUUUCCUUACAAGUCAACAGCGCUUCCUUAGAGAAAUCAUCAAGAAAAAAAAAAACACUACUUCUGCAUUCAAACGA